CUGCUUUUGCUUCGGCUAAUUUUCUCUCUGCCAAUGCAUCCUCCGCUUCUACUUUCUCCGGAACAUAAUCUGUGAACAUAACCGGUUGUGCAUCAGACAGCAUAACCAAUGGCGGAGUAAAAAUCAAACGUUUUAGUUCCAAGUGACGUUGAAUGGAAGCGUAAACGUUACCUGAAAGGAAGUCGCAUCUCUCUAAGCAAAGAAAGUUUAGAAAUCCAGUUUCCAGCAACUGUUACGAGAAAACGUUUUCAUAUCGUUGGACAAUCCAAAUUGAAGCCUUGUUGCUCUAGUAAAAACGCUUGUUGCUUACAUCGCACGGUGCGAGGAUGUAGCGCCAGGACAGCUCCAUUUCAAGAGGAAAACGAGAUGCUAACCCCGUUUUGAUUUUUAUGCAGCAUGUAAAAGCAAGACCUCACGAAUCAUGAACCAACCAAACCAUGAGAGUGCUAAUGUGCUAUAGCAGCAUCAGAGAAUUUCUACCAUUUCAAAC
This 490-nucleotide long non-coding RNA is filed under the name Malus domestica (apple). RNAcentral describes it as "long non-coding RNA (MDOM_LNC010149)". Lineage: Eukaryota; Viridiplantae; Streptophyta; Magnoliopsida; Rosales; Rosaceae. The record is from RNAcentral.